AACGAACGCUGGCGGCAUGCCUAACACAUGCAAGUCGAACGAGAACUUCGGGCCUAUUGGCGCACGGCUGAGGAACGCCGGGGAAGUUGCCCUUAGGUUCGGAACAACUCCCUGAAAGGGGUGCUAAUACCGGAUAAUUUCCUAGGACCAAAGAUUUAUCGCCUUUGGAUGGGCCCGCGUUGGAUUAGCUGGUUGGUAGGGUAAAAGCCUACCAAGGCGACGAUCCAUAGCUGGUCUGAGAGGAUGAUCCGCCACACUGGGACUGAGACACGGCCCAGACUCCUACGGGAGGGAGGAGAGGGGAAUAUAGGACAGUGGGCGAUAUCCUGAUCCAGCAAGGCUGCGUGAGUGAUGAAGGCCUGAGGGUAGUAAAUCUCUUUUACCCGGGAUGAUAAUGACGGUACCGGGAGAAGAAGCUCCGGCUAACUCCGUG
Molecule: ribosomal RNA, 433 nt
Filed under: uncultured bacterium
Lineage: Bacteria
Description: partial 16S ribosomal RNA
Rfam family: Bacterial small subunit ribosomal RNA
Source: RNAcentral